GAAGUCCCUUCCUUCCUAACUAGUAGUCAAUUUCUGAGAGAAAGAAAGGCUGCAGGGAAGUCAAGAGACAGGAGGUCAUGACCCAGAAGACUAAAGCAGUUAAAAGCAGAUCAAGAUGGAGUGGAGAAACGCAGAAUGCUUGAAACACAGAUAAAGAUGUCCUGAGUCAGCAGAGACAGCACAGGAUUGCAGCAAAAGGGGCCUGAAGUCAGCAGUAGCAGUAGAGCAAAGCACUUUGAGAAGCCGUUCUACCAGCUGUGAUUCAGGACAACGCAUUAUACUCUGUAAUUCAGCUGGAAGAUGUGUGAGUAAAAUUUUCAAUGUGUCUGAGAGGUG
Molecule: long non-coding RNA, 336 nt
Organism: Carcharodon carcharias (great white shark)
Lineage: Eukaryota; Metazoa; Chordata; Chondrichthyes; Lamniformes; Lamnidae
Exons: 3
Source: RefSeq, a predicted model, not a curated record